UCAUUAAGAAGCUAUGAACCAGCGUUAGCCUUUUAAGCUAGAGAAAGAGGAACACAAAUCCUCCUUAAUGAU
Molecule: transfer RNA, 72 nt
Filed under: Psophodes olivaceus (eastern whipbird)
Lineage: Eukaryota; Metazoa; Chordata; Aves; Passeriformes; Cinclosomatidae
Description: tRNA-Lys
Source: RNAcentral